GCCAGUGUGGUGUAGUGGUCUUAGUGUUGGAUUAUUACUCUGGAGACCUGGGUUUGAAUCCUUGCUCAGCCA
Non-coding RNA from Phrynosoma platyrhinos (Desert horned lizard), 72 nucleotides. The record is from the annotation of a GenBank genome assembly. NCBI's taxonomy places the organism in Eukaryota, Metazoa, Chordata, Lepidosauria, Squamata, Phrynosomatidae.